RNAcentral lists this ribosomal RNA (442 nucleotides) under uncultured bacterium. RNAcentral's name for it is "partial 16S ribosomal RNA". It matches the Rfam family "Bacterial small subunit ribosomal RNA", at positions 338 to 795 of the family's 1533-position model. The record is from RNAcentral.
CCUACGGGAGGCAGCAGUGGGGAAUAUUGGGCAAUGGGCGCAAGCCUGACCCAGCAACGCCGCGUGAAGGAAGAAGGCUUUCGGGUUGUAAACUUCUUUUAAGAGGGAAGAGCAGAAGACGGUACCUCUUGAAUAAGCCACGGCUAACUACGUGCCAGCAGCCGCGGUAAUACGUAGGUGGCAAGCGUUGUUCGGAUUUACUGGGUGUAAAGGGCGUGUAGCCGGGCUGACAAGGCAGAUGGGAAAUCCCGUGGCCCAACCACGGAACUGCAUUUGAAACUGGCGGUCUUGAGUAUCGGAGAGGCAGGCGGAAUGCCGAGUGUAGCGGUGAAAUGCAUAGAGAUCGUACAGAACACCGAUUGCGAAGGCAGCUUACCAAACUACGACUGACGUGGAGGCACGAAAGCGUGGGGAGCAAACAGGAUUAGAUACCCCUGUAGUC